AUGAUUGCUGCUGUACUGGUAAAACAAAGCAUGUCAUACUUUGCCUCUCCUGUUCUGUUAGUGAAGAAGAAAGAUGGGACUUGGAGGUUUUGUGUAGAUUACAUAAGACUCAACUCGCUGACAAUCAAAAGCAAGUUCCCAAUGCCAGUAGUGGAUGAGUUGUUGGAUGAGCUGGCAGGUGCGAAGUGGUUCACUAAGCUAGAUUUAAGGGCAGGUUACCACCAGAUUAGAAUGGUCGAAGAAGAUGAAGCUAAGACUGCAUUUAAAACUCAUCAUGACCAAUUUCAGUUCAGGGUGAUGCCUUUUGGCCUCACUAAUGCACUAGCUACAUUUCAGUGUCUUAUGAAUGCCAUAUUUGCACAUUGUACAAGAAGAUUUGUACUCAUUUUCAUGGAUGAUAUUUUGGUUUUUAGUGAGGACUUGGAGUCUCAUAUAGAACAUCUGAGAUAA
This 450-nucleotide ribosomal RNA is filed under the name Triticum aestivum (bread wheat). RNAcentral describes it as "partial small subunit ribosomal RNA". The record is from RNAcentral. Lineage: Eukaryota; Viridiplantae; Streptophyta; Magnoliopsida; Poales; Poaceae.